RNAcentral lists this ribosomal RNA (832 nucleotides) under uncultured marine bacterium. Its description in RNAcentral is "bacterial SSU rRNA". It matches the Rfam family "Bacterial small subunit ribosomal RNA", at positions 35 to 920 of the family's 1533-position model. The record is from RNAcentral.
GCCUGCUGCAGGCCUAACACAUGCAAGUCGAGCGAACUCUUCGGAGUUAGCGGCGGACGGGUUAGUAACGCGUGGGAAUAUGCCCUUUGGUUGGGAACAACAGCUGGAAACGGCUGCUAAUACCCGAUGAGCCCUACGGGGGAAAGAUUUAUCGCCAAAGGAUUAGCCCGCGUUGGAUUAGGUAGUUGGUGGGGUAAUGGCCUACCAAGCCGACGAUCCAUAGCUGGUUUGAGAGGACGAUCAGCAACACUGGGACUGAGACACGGCCCAGACUCCUACGGGAGGCAGAAGUGGGGAAUCAUAGACAAUGGGCGCAAGCCUGAUCUUGCCAUGCCGCGUGAGCGAUGACGGCCUUAGGGUUGUAAAGCUCUUUCACUGGUGAAGAUAAUGACGGUAGCCAGAGAAGAAGCCCCGGCUAACUCCGUGCCAGCAGCCGCGGUAAUACGGAGGGGGCUAGCGUUGUUCGGAAUUACUGGGCGUAAAGCGCGCGUAGGCGGACUGUUAAGUCGGGGGUGAAAUCCCGGGGCUCAACCCCGGAACUGCCUUCGAUACUGGCAGUCUAGAGAUCGAGAGAGGUGAGUGGAAUGUCGAGUGUAGAGGUGAAAUUCGUAGAUAUUCGACGGAACACCAGUGGCGAAGGCGGCUCACUGGCUCGAUACUGACGCUGAGGUGCGAAAGUGUGGGGAGCAAACAGGAUUAGAUACCCUGGUAGUCCACACCGUAACGAUGAAUGCCAGACGUCGGGGGGCAUGCCCUUUCGUGUCGCAGCUAACGCAUUAGCAUUCCGCCUGGGAGUACGCCGCAAGUUAAAACUCAAGGAAUUGACGAGGCG